Molecule: transfer RNA, 73 nt
Filed under: Methanoregula formicica SMSP
Lineage: Archaea; Methanobacteriati; Methanobacteriota; Methanomicrobia; Methanomicrobiales; Methanoregulaceae
Also listed under: 8 other names
Description: tRNA-Asn (GTT) (tRNA-Asn-GTT-1-1)
Rfam family: tRNA
About the family: Transfer RNA (tRNA) molecules are approximately 80 nucleotides in length.
Source: Rfam by way of RNAcentral
GCCUCCCUAACUCAGUUGGUAGAGUGUCGGACUGUUAAUCCGAAUGUCACAGGUUCGAGCCCUGUGGGGGGCG